AGCAGCCGCGGUAAUUCCAGCUCCAAUAGCGUAUAUUAAAGUUGUUGCAGUUAAAAAGCUCGUAGUUGAAUUUCGGAGUUUGUCGGUUGGUCGGGCUUUACUGUCCGCACUGGCCUGAUAGAUUCCUACCUUCUGAAUAACCAGCAUGCUAUUAAUUUAGUGCGUUGGGGAAGCAGAGCUAUUACCUUGAAAAAAUUAGAGUGCUUAAAGCAGGCUUAUGCUUGAAUAGAUUAGCAUGGAAUAAUAAAAUAGGACGGCUUGGUUCUAUUUUGUUGGUUUCUAGGAUCACCGUAAUGAUUAAUAGGGAUAGUUGGGGGCAUUAGUAUUCAAUUGUCAGAGGUGAAAUUCUUGGAUUUAUUGAAGACUAACUUCUGCGAAAGCAUUUGCCAAGGAUGUUUUCAUUAAUCAAGAACGAAAGUUAGGGGAUCGAAGACGAAUCAGAUACCGUCGUAGUCUAACCAUAAACUAUGCCGACUAGGGAUCCGGACGAUGUUAAUUUUUUAAUGACUCG
This 511-nucleotide ribosomal RNA is filed under the name Acaulospora sp. Acau5. RNAcentral describes it as "SSU rRNA". It matches the Rfam family "Eukaryotic small subunit ribosomal RNA", at positions 569 to 1082 of the family's 1831-position model. Lineage: Eukaryota; Fungi; Glomeromycota; Glomeromycetes; Diversisporales; Acaulosporaceae. The record is from RNAcentral.